UAGUUACUUGGGACAACAGUUUUAGCAGGGCUCUCUUUCUCCUUUCCUGAUCUCUCUGUUAAGCUGCCUGGCUCAUUUGAUAUCACAUCCAAAUUAUCAGCUGAUUGCUCUAUUGUUUUGGACAAUGCCCUGAAGCAUACCAAAAUGUGUCUGGAAUUGGUGGGUUCUUGGUCUUACUGACUUUAAGAAUGAAGUUGCGGACUUUUGCGGUGAUCCACCCUACCACAUAUUGUCUCCUAAUGGCCGUCCAGUUUAUCCUGGAGCCCUUGCAUGACACAGGCCUAUCGAAGCAUAGGAGAUGCCAAUAUUUUACCUCUUGGGUACUUUCUGUGUAGAAGAUUCAUAACAAGAACAAUACUUAUUCUGCAAUUCUUUAUAUAAAGCUAAAAGAAAAUGCAUUCUGCCAACAACUAAUGAGCUUGGAAGAGAACUCCAAACCCCAGAAGAGGCCUGUCACAUUGGCUAACACCUUGAUUUCCACCCACUGAGACCUUGAGCAGAGACUUCAGUUACACCCCACCCAGACUUCUGACCUGCAAAACUUAAGAAGAAAGCCCAAAGACAAAACCAGAGGCAACUGGCUGCUGCAUCGCCCACCUAGUGGCAGUAGUGUGAGCUAUGGACAAAAGAUCUAAGUCUCCAGGACAAAGAGUUGUGCAGCUGCUCAUUUUCCUGUUGACUUCUGUCUAAGACUUGGAGAUGUUUGUAAGAUUGGGACCUACCUACAGAGCUCCAGAGGGAAGUGAGAAGGAUGUUCACUUGCUGGUGAGAGAAGGAGCUGGUUCCAUCCAUUACGCAGUCCCCUGGGAGCGCUAAAUGCAACUUUAUCUCAACGGGGAGUGGACGAUGAGCAGGACGUCGCUAGAGGGAAAGAGCCUCACUUCCCGUUUCCUUUGGCAGCGCCCUUUUCCCGACCUAAGGGAGCAGACCUUCGUUGGUUGGCGUGAGGACUGGCGGGAGAGGUUUUGUGCCAGGAUCCGCACUGUCUGGGGUGAACGCUCCUCACCUUUGACCUGAACCGCCAACUUCCCAUCCUCCACUUUUGGAGAGCGCGCCUGAUAGCUGCUGCCCACCUGGGCACUGACAUCCUCCUUCCGACCGGGUGCGGAGAAAGCACAAAGGAAGUAGACCAAGGAGACUGAAGGUGGUUAUGAAGACUGUGCAUCUCUGAGGACAUCUUAAACAAAGAUGACCCAAAUCUUUGAUCUUCAAAUAGUCGAUGUGAACUGCUUAACAAAAUGCCCUGGGAAAACUCUGUCUGAAACAAGCAGCUUGGGGGUUUGAUUUCAUUAGUUACUGGACAAGAACUGGAAUGGAGUGAAAAAUCUUCAUUCAUUUCUUGGUCAGAUGGAGAGAGGAGAAAAAAAGAAGUGGGUUUCCAUUCACUUCCAUUUUCUAACUGAUCAUUAGUUAGAGAACCUUUGGAAAGGUUUAGCUCAGUUUUUUCUUCCAACUUAUCAGGUUCCUCAAGAAAUUCACUGCCUUGAGAUGACUUUGAUAACCCAUCCAAAUCCAGUGACUUAAAACCGUUAUUACAAGGGCUCUUGCUGUUGUCUGACUCUGACAUCAUUGAAUCCAACUCAGAGAUUUUGUCAAGGUAAGCAGCAUCCAUCGAUGCUUCACUGGAUGUUCUUGUCCGGUUCAUUUCAAAAGAGCGAAUAGAAUUCAACCUUUUGGAUAAACAUAAGCCUGAUUUCUCACUCAAUUUUGAAGAUAUUUCUCCAACAGAAUUUGCUAUCGUGUUCCCCUCUGAACUUUCAAAAUCUAAGUUUUGGGCAUAGCUUGUGGAACAACAGUCCCAAAAUCCUGUCUUUGGGGAAGAAAAACAUUCUGAUUUCUUUUCAUUUUCACUUCUACUUAUAUCAUCUUCUGAAGAAUCUUUAUUAGAAACAUUUGAAGAAUCACAAAAAUCAUCAAACACCAAUUUUCUGAGAUGGUUUGAGUGCUUUUUGGAACCUCCUGCUUGGACCACAGAGCUCUCUCUAUUUUCUGGAGUACUGAGCUGAAGGCAACUAAGGGACAAAGGAGUACAAGGAGCUGGAAGAUCAUAAAGUUCUUCAUCUUUGUAGGGUACACAGUCACUUGGUUUAUUCCCCCAUUCUCUUUCCAAAUAAGUAUCCAUACUUGUAUCUGUCACAUCUAACAUUACUUCUACCUGUUCUUGAUAUAGGUCUUUGUUCUUAGAACAGUUAAGGUCUGCUUUGCUGGUACUUUCCUGCCUUGCAGAACUGGUGUCACACAGUCUGCUGCUGGAAGGCUUCGCUAGGUGAGAAGAACUGGAGGUGGAUGAGCCAGGCUGCUUUCUGGCACUAUCGCCUUGAUUCUUUGACACCACAUCCUCCUCACUGCCUUUGCUCCCUUUGCCAUCUGCAGAAAGUGCUGUCUGGCAAAUGGAAUUCAUAGCUUCUUUCUCUUCACUUGAAUUUUUUAGCUGUGCAACUUGAGAUUCUAGUUCCUCUAUAUACUUAUCACUUCGUUCCAGGGCUUUCUUGAGGCGAUUGGUUUCACGCUCAUACUGUUCUACUUUGGACUGAAGAGCAGCAACUGCAAACCUUCCAAACCUACAAAGAAUGGAAAGAUAGUUAAUCUUAUAACUCAAGCUUUUUUCUUUUCAAGGUUUGAGAGUGCAAACUGUCCCAGGCUAUUCUAAUUUCACCUAACAGUGACAUUUCAGACCACUCAAUGAGUAGGGCAAAUGCCAGAUGUAUAUUUUCAAAAAAUGGUUUCCCCACUUACAUAAUAAUAAACAUAUGAUAAUAAUAG
Molecule: long non-coding RNA, 2763 nt
Filed under: Homo sapiens (human)
Lineage: Eukaryota; Metazoa; Chordata; Mammalia; Primates; Hominidae
Description: HSALNT0374208
Source: RNAcentral